RNAcentral lists this ribosomal RNA (765 nucleotides) under uncultured Streptococcus sp. RNAcentral's name for it is "bacterial SSU rRNA". It matches the Rfam family "Bacterial small subunit ribosomal RNA", at positions 28 to 776 of the family's 1533-position model. Lineage: Bacteria; Bacillati; Bacillota; Bacilli; Lactobacillales; Streptococcaceae. The record is from RNAcentral.
GACGAACGCUGGCGGCGUGCCUAAUACAUGCAAGUAGAACGCUGAAGAGAGGAGUUUGCUCUUCUUGGAAGAGUUGCGAACGGGUGAGUAACGCGUAGGUAACCUGCCUUGUAGCGGGGGAUAACUAUUGGAAACGAUAGCUAAUACCGCAUAACAAUGGGUGACCCAUGUCAUUCAUUUGAAAGGGGCAACUGCUCCACUACAAGAUGGACCUGCGUUGUAUUAGCUAGUAGGUGAGGUAACGGCUCACCUAGGCGACGAUACAUAGCCGACCUGAGAGGGUGAUCGGCCACACUGGGACUGAGACACGGCCCAGACUCCUACGGGAGGCAGCAGUAGGGAAUCUUCGGCAAUGGGGGCAACCCUGACCGAGCAACGCCGCGUGAGUGAAGAAGGUUUUCGGAUCGUAAAGCUCUGUUGUAAGUCAAGAGCGAGUGUGAGAGUGGAAAGUUCACACUGUGACGGUAGCUUACCAGAAAGGGACGGCUAACUACGUGCCAGCAGCCGCGGUAAUACGUAGGUCCCGAGCGUUGUCCGGAUUUAUUGGGCGUAAAGCGAGCGCAGGCGGUUUGAUAAGUCUGAAGUUAAAGGCUGUGGCUCAACCAUAGUUCGCUUUGGAAACUGUCAAACUUGAGUGCAGAAGGGGAGAGUGGAAUUCCAUGUGUAGCGGUGAAAUGCGUAGAUAUAUGGAGGAACACCGGUGGCGAAAGCGGCUCUCUGGUCUGUAACUGACGCUGAGGCUCGAAAGCGUGGGGAGCGAACAGG